GGGUACGGAAGAGCCUGUUGCAGAUUUAAGACCGCUAGCCAAGCCUCAUCGGGGACCCGCGACUACUUGAUCCUGGUAACUAAGUGCACUCAGGUGACACUCGGACGCCCAGCAGAACGCCCACAAGUUCAGAGCCGCAGCUCGUGGGUGCAGCUUGCCCCUGGGACGAAACGCCCCUCCCUGAACUGCGGACUGUUCUCACCUGCACUUUCCUAUGCCCCACGGCGUGAGAGCCUUCUUCGCACCCACGUUCCAUCUCCCCCACAGGAGGCGGGUGGUUUAAACCUCACGCUCAGUCUGUGCGCCCAGCGAGCGCCGGCCGGGGAGCCGCGCGCGCGGGUGAGAGCGGGUCCCCCGGAUCGUAGAGUCCGGGACACCGAAGUGAGGGCACGGAGGCUUCCCGCCCCAGGCCGCCUACCCUUGCUACCCCCUGCCCCUCCCCGCCCCCCUGGCUGGGGCUGGUGGUGGUUCGCUUCCCGAGCAGGGGAGAAGCUGCCGCAGGAAAGCAGGGGCACAGCGGCCGCGCAGAGAGGCGCGGGAAGCUCGAGGUGCAACAGGAGCAGGGGGACCUGGCCCGUCGCGGCACCAGCUCGGGGUAACGCCAGGAAGAGCGCCGUAGCCGCUACGCAGCGCCACGCACGAGCGGCCGGCUGCUGCUGGUGGGCGGCUGUUACCAUUCGGAAUUACAAGCCGGGCGGUUACACCAGGCACGCCAGGUGCUCGCGUCCUGGGAAGGAGGAAGGCAGUGGGGCACCAGGACACGCGGAGACCGGGGGGGGGGGGCGCAGGAGGGGAGAAGAAACAUCCCUCCUUAGCCGCGCGGGUGUCCAAGAGGGGCUGUGGGGGACAGCUCUGGCCUGGUGCCUGCGCACCCAACCCGCCCAGCCAGCUCGCCGCCGAGCCCGGGCGCCCGGGGUUGUAGGGAGGGCGGGGGAGGAGGCGGCCUCGGACGGCGGCCGGGCGCGGUGCCCGUGGGACGUGCGGACCCGGCGCGAGGGGCUCACCUGGCGGGCGCUCGGCCGGCCGCGCGUCUGCUCCAUGCCUGCGGCGGGCACGGGGCUGCCGCACCCCGCGCCCCGCGCCUCGCGCCCACGGCAAGGGUCUGGUCGUUCCGAGGGACUCUGGCCGGGAGCCUGA
RNAcentral lists this long non-coding RNA (1137 nucleotides) under Ursus thibetanus thibetanus. RNAcentral describes it as "lncRNA (ENSUTTG00000013219.1)". The record is from RNAcentral. Lineage: Eukaryota; Metazoa; Chordata; Mammalia; Carnivora; Ursidae.